Molecule: non-coding RNA, 549 nt
Organism: Phalacrocorax carbo (great cormorant)
Lineage: Eukaryota; Metazoa; Chordata; Aves; Suliformes; Phalacrocoracidae
Source: RefSeq, a predicted model, not a curated record
AACUGCCUGUCUCCCUUGGACUGACUACUGGCUUGUAUUCCUUCCCAAAGGCAUUCUUUGAAAGAAGGCAACAUGCUCGUGGACCAGCAAUGCCGACAGCAGGAUAGAGGGAACUCUCAAAAACUUUACAAGAGCCCCCCUCCCAAGGACACUUUAAAGAUGGAAAUAGGUGAUGACAAUUCUGCUGUCUUCUUGACAUCUAAGAUCUGCAUAAAGAUGUGCAUCAACAUUAUGAUAGCAAAAAGAGUAACAAGGUGGCCAAACAGCGUGGUGUUACUAAGAAUCUGUGCAUCCCAAAACAAGAAAAACAACAGUGUAAGGGUUGCAGUAUGAUGCUGGAUGGAAGAUAGAGACCAGUAUCCCUGCAGACCAAGAUUCACCAAAUGACCGUACCAGCUGCCCUUCUGGAAGUGUCACAACUUCAGCACGUGAUAGUGGAAACUCGAGAAACAGCACUGCCGCAAAAGAUGGUGCAGCAGGCAAGCCUGCUGGCACUGGCAUGGGUAGUGGUAUGUAAAAUGCAUGUAUGAAGAAUAAAAGUCCAUUUCG